UCCGAGCAUCUCGGAGACGUCGUCCCCUCCCGGCUGGAGACCUGCAAUCAGAAUGCUGAAGGCACCUAAGGAGGCAAAGAUCCCGGCUCCCAUCGCGUUUUCCCUGGGCUAGCUCCAUGUCCCAAACGACGCCUGGGGUCAGGGAGAGGAGGUGGCUGGGUUUUGUCUACUCACCUGUCCCAGAAAAUCAGAUGACGCUCGGCUGCGUGUUUUGCGGGACAAGGCUCGGAUGCGCGUAACCCCCCGAUUUUAACGACCGCGUAACUCAUCACGCGACCCCCUACCCAGCGCGCAGCCUCCGUCCCCGCUGUUUUUUGUUCAGCGAGUCAUUCUGGAGGUAGAGGGCAGCGAAGCAAAACAGGCAGCGAGGCCCCGCCGCAAGCCUCGCCCCGUGACUGGAGGCGCUGAAGUUGGCCGGAGUCGGGGGAGGCCGGCCCCAAGCUCCCCUCAGGGCUCCUCACAGCCAGAACCGCCCGGGCCCUGAGGUAACCGCCCGCAGCGCGGGGUCGGGGGACGCGGCGCCGGGCGGGUCCCGCCGGGGC
Molecule: long non-coding RNA, 542 nt
Organism: Aquila chrysaetos chrysaetos
Lineage: Eukaryota; Metazoa; Chordata; Aves; Accipitriformes; Accipitridae
Exons: 3
Source: RefSeq, a predicted model, not a curated record